RNAcentral lists this small nuclear RNA (106 nucleotides) under Octopus vulgaris (common octopus). The record is from RNAcentral. Lineage: Eukaryota; Metazoa; Mollusca; Cephalopoda; Octopoda; Octopodidae. RNAcentral also lists the same sequence under 1 other name.
GUAUUGCUUCGGCAAUACAUAUACUAAAAUUGGAACGAUACAGAGAAGAUUAGCAUGGCCUCUGCGCAAGGAUGACACACAAAUUCAUGAAGCAUUCCAUAUUUUU